GAUGAACGCUGGCGGCGUGCUUAACACAUGCAAGUCGAAUGGGAUCCAAGGGGUGCUUGCACUUUUUGGUGAGAGUGGCGAACGGGUGAGUAACACGUGAGUAACCUGUCCUUUUCUUUGGGAUAAGCAUUCGAAAGGGUGUUUAAUACCUUAUGUUCUGUCUGCCUCGCAUGGGGUGGGUGGGAAAGGCUUUGGCCGGAUUUGGGUGGGCUCGCGGUCUAUCAGCUUGUUGGUGGGGUGAUGGCUUACCAAGGCUUUGACGGGUAGCCGGCCUGAGAGGGUGGUCGGUCACAUUGGGACUGAGAUACGGCCCAGACUCCUGCGGGAGGCAGCAGUGGGGGAUAUUGCACAAUGGGCGAAAGCCUGAUGCAGCGACGCCGCGUGGGGGAUGAAGGCCUUCGGGUUGUAAACUUCUUUUGCUCUGAACAAGGCAUGCCAGUGGGUGUGUUGAGUGUAGGGGUUGAUUAGCGCCGGCUAACUACGUG
Molecule: ribosomal RNA, 485 nt
Filed under: uncultured bacterium
Lineage: Bacteria
Description: partial 16S ribosomal RNA
Rfam family: Bacterial small subunit ribosomal RNA
Source: RNAcentral